GCUUUCAGUCUUCCAUGGGCAAUCCCCUCCCGCCAUAAAAUCACUGACCACUUUCUUCACAGGGAGAGAGAGAGAGAGAUCAGAGAUGGAGUUCAGUGUAAGCGGCAACGCGCUCAAGACCUUCGCUAGGUCUAUAAUCUGCCUCGCACGCGUCGGCAACGAGCUCGUCGUUCAAGCUUCGCCCACACAGCUAGGGUUGCACACUUUGAAUGCUUCACGUUCUGCCUAUCAGUCUAUCACAUUCGAGUCAAGUUUCUUUGAUGCUUAUACUGUUCAAGGUCCUCAAGCUCAUUUCAGUGUCCUUUUGAAGGCUGUUUGUUCUGUUCUUAGGACCCCUGUCGCUAGCAUUGAGCAGAUGAGUGUGAAUUUGCCAGAUCAUGACGCAUCUAAAGUCAAGUGGGCAUUGGAAUGUCACAGUGGUAUGAAGAAAACAUAUUGGAUUACUUGCAAUGUGGAACCGGAUAUACAGCAUCUGUCGCUUGAUAGGAGUAGGUUUCCGAGUGGUUUAGUUGUGCAUCCUCGGAAUCUCAGCAAGUUGCUUGGAAACUUCCAGUCAUCCCUCCAAGAGAUUACAAUAAUUGCUACAGACCAAACUUCUUUUCCCUCUGAUGCUGCAAGUGAAAUUGGUGGGAAAGCUGUUGAGUUCCGGAGCUACGUGGAUCCGACCAAAGAUGGUGAUUCUUUGUUGCAUACUCAGCUAUGGAUAGAUCCAUCAGAAGAAUUUUUGCAGUAUACUCACACAGGUGAUCCUAUUGAUAUCACAUUUUCCUUGAAGGAACUAAAGGCUUUUCUUUCAUUUUGUGAGGGCUGUGAAGCUGACAUUCAUCUCUUUUUCGAAAAAGCUGGCGAGCCAAUACUGAUGGCUCCAAAAUUUGGCUUGGGUGAUGGGUCAAGCUCAAGUUUUGAUGCCACACUCGUUCUUGCGACGAUGCUUGUGUCUCAGCUUCAGGAAGGGGUUCCGCCAGGACCUCCGGAAGCAGCGAACUCUACAGGUGGUCAUGGUGCCGAGCAAGUGGGAUCAGAGCCUCAAGAACGGUCUAGACAGAGUGCCGUUGAGCAACCAUCUGAUCACACACGAGUUUGGUCUGAACUUUCAGGAACUGGCACUAAGAGCGUUAACGGUUCAGCGGAGAGGCCACAGGCUCAGGGACAACAAGACGUGAAUAUCCAAAGAAUUAGAGAUAUGGAAAUAUCAAAAGAUGGACCACCAGCUGGAGACAAUGUUCCCGGACCUUCUAACUCCCAACGUCCUACACAGAUUCAUCACGCCGAAGGAUCCCGAGUACGAGCUGAGAACUACCAAAACUUCUCCCAGCGCCAUCCUAGUAAUUGGGUAGAUGCAAGUGAGGAUGAAGAUGAGGACGACGGUGUUGAGGCGACGCCACCUCAUAAUGAAGAUUAUUAACUCAAAAGUCUCUUCCCCCUUGAAGUCAUCUCAUUUUAAAUGUUCUUCAAAAAGACCAAGUUUCAUCUUGGCCGAUAGAGCGGUAAUGAAAAAGGACAAACCGGUCAACCAUCUGCUGCCUAGCGAUGCCCAUUGCUUCACCCAUUAAUUACGUAAAGGCCAUUAUCUAGCUUUUCGGCUCUCUGAGUCUGAUGCAAAUAAAUUAAACAUUUGUGAGGGUUAACUUGAAACUUAUAAUAACAUUGUAUAUAAACUAAGAAUUUGUCCAUUCAAUACUCAAGUUUCUAUUGUUAAAUAGAUAGUAUUUGUGAAAAGAAUCUUGUUAAAAAUGUUGCAAUGGAACAAAAUUGUAAUUUUCAAAUUUUAUGUUGAAGCCGUCCUAAUUAACUAGACAAGUCAUGGGUGCACGAAAAACAUAUCUAAUGAAACUUGAGAGUAAGCCAGCGAAUAUUUCAAAGCCUAGAGAGAGACUUUAAUUUAUGAGUUUAUUAAUACGAAGCAUAUGCGACAAUUGCGCAUAAAUCAUUUUUCGAGUAAUAAACAAAACAAAAAACGCGUACCUGCUCUUAAGAAAAUGAAUAAAGGAAUGUCAUUUUCGUUAAUAUACCCACAUAUAAGCCCGUUAUAAUAAAUUUCUCAUGUUAUAAGAAGUUAGACAGCAAUG
Molecule: RNA transcript, 2069 nt
Organism: Raphanus sativus (radish)
Lineage: Eukaryota; Viridiplantae; Streptophyta; Magnoliopsida; Brassicales; Brassicaceae
Exons: 11
Source: RefSeq, a predicted model, not a curated record